UACGUAGGGUGCGAGCGUUGUCCGGAAUUAUUGGGCGUAAAGAGCUCGUAGGCGGCCUGUCGCGUCGGUUGUGAAAGCCCGGGGCUUAACCCCGGGUCUGCAGUCGAUACGGGCAGGCUAGAGUUCGGUAGGGGAGAUCGGAAUUCCAGGUGUAGCGGUGAAAUGCGUAGAUAUCUGGAGGAACACCCGUGGCGAAGGCGGCUCUCUGGGACGGUACUGACGCUGAGACGCGAAAGCGUGGGGAGCGAACAGG
RNAcentral lists this ribosomal RNA (253 nucleotides) under uncultured bacterium. Its description in RNAcentral is "partial 16S ribosomal RNA". It matches the Rfam family "Bacterial small subunit ribosomal RNA", at positions 524 to 776 of the family's 1533-position model. The record is from RNAcentral.